UGGGCGCAAGCCUGAUGCAGCCAUGCCGCGUGUAUGAAGAAGGCCUUCGGGUUGUAAAGUACUUUCAGUCAGUGAGAAGUGGGUAUGUUAAUAGCAUAUUCAUUUGACGUUAGCUGCAGAAGAAGCACCGGCUAACUCCGUGCCAGCAGCCGCGGUAAUACGGAGGGUGCGAGCGUUAAUCGGAAUUACUGGGCGUAAAGCGCAUGCAGGUGGUUUGUUAAGUCAGAUGUGAAAGCCCGGGGCUCAACCUCGGAAUUGCAUUUUGAAAACUGGCAAACUAGAGUACUGUAGAGGGGGUAGAAUUUCAGGUGUAGCGGUGAAAUGCGUAGAGAUCUGAAGGAAUACCGGUGGCGAAGGCGGCCCCCCUGGACCAGAUAACUGACACUCAGAUGCGAAAGACGUGGGGAGCAAACAGGAUUAGAUACCCUCGGUAG
This 434-nucleotide ribosomal RNA is filed under the name uncultured bacterium. RNAcentral's name for it is "bacterial SSU rRNA". It matches the Rfam family "Bacterial small subunit ribosomal RNA", at positions 372 to 793 of the family's 1533-position model. The record is from RNAcentral.